AUUGAACGCUGGCGGCAUGCCUAACACAUGCAAGUCGAACGGCAGCACAAUAAAGAUUUCGGUCUUUAUGGGUGGCGAGUGGCGGACGGGUGAGUAACGCGUAGGAAUCUGUCCUGGAGAGUGGGAUAACCCGAGGAAACUCGGGCUAAUACUGCAUGACAUUGAGAGAUAAAAAGCAGGGGACCGAAAGGCCUUGCGCUCUGGGGUGAGCCUACGUCGGAUUAGCUAGUUGGUGGGGUAAAGGCCUACCGAGGCGACGAUCCGUAGCUGGUCUGAGAGGAUGACCAGCCACACUGGGACUGAGACACGGCCCAGACUCCUACGGGAGGCAGCAGUGGGGAAUCUUGGACAAUGGGGGAAACCCUGAUCCAGCGAUGCCGCGUGUGUGAAGAAGGCCUUCGGGUUGUAAAGCACUUUAGGUGGGGAAGAAAGGUAGCGAGUGAAUAACUUUCUGCUGUGACGGUACCCACAGAAUAAGCACCGGCUAACUCUGUGCCAGCAGCCGCAGUAA
RNAcentral lists this ribosomal RNA (511 nucleotides) under uncultured bacterium. RNAcentral describes it as "partial 16S ribosomal RNA". It matches the Rfam family "Bacterial small subunit ribosomal RNA", at positions 30 to 523 of the family's 1533-position model. The record is from RNAcentral.